AUUAAGGGCAUACGGAGGAUGGCUAGACAGAACGUGCCGAUGAAGGACGUAGCAGCCUGCGAUAAGCUUCGGGGAGGUGGCAAGCAACCUUUGAUCCGGAGAUUUCCGAAUGGGGAAACCCGUUACGUUGAAGGCGUAUCAUCUACCGCUGAAUAUAUAGGCGGUAUGAAGGGCACCUGGGGAAGUGAAACAUCUCAGUACCCAGAGGAAAGGAAAAAGAUUAACUCGCUUUGUGUUCAAAGUGUUCUUCGAACAUUUUGAACAUUUAAGUGAGUCCAUUCCCUAAGUAGUGGCGAACGAAAGGGGAACAGUCCAAACUUUUUUAGUGAAACCUUCCGGAUCUUUUCUUUAUGGAGAGUGAAGGAUGGUGAAAGGUGGCAGCCGUUGCUAAAAAAGUGUUGUAAGAUGUUUGUGUGAUUUUCUGCCGAAAGUCGACUUUAGCACGAUAUAUAACAGAAUUCGCUGGAAAGCGAAACCACAGAAGGUGAUAGUCCUGUAAGUGAAAUAUUUCGUGUUACGGUUACAAACACUCUUGAGUACCACGAGACUCGCGAAAUCUUGUGGGAAUCUGCCGCGACUAUGUGGCAAGACUAAAUACGCGUUCUGAUCGAUAGUGAACCAGUACCGUGAGGGAAAGCUUAAAAGAACCCCGGAAGGGGAAUGAAAUAGUAUCUGAAACCGUAUGCUUACAAGGAGUUAGAGUCCCACCGUAGCCCGUAAGGGCGAAGGGGGAUGAUAGCGUUCCUAUUGAAGAAUGAGCCAACGAGUGUGCUGCGUGUCGCUCGGUUAAGCCUUAAGGGGCGAAGCCAUAGUGAAAGCAAGCGUUCACCCGCGUUCUCUGACUUUGUUCAAGGAUCCGUAGAGGUAUAAAAUUUUAUGCCUUCUAUAGCCCUUGAACAUAGUCAGAAGGUGGCACGCACACGACCCGAAACCGAGUGAUCUAACCAUGGCCAGGGUGAAGCGAGUGUAAUAGCUCGUGAAGGCCCGAACCCACGCGCCGUACAACACGCGGGGAUGAGCUGUGGUUAGCGGAGAAAUUCCA
RNAcentral lists this ribosomal RNA (1042 nucleotides) under Candidatus Uhrbacteria bacterium. RNAcentral describes it as "bacterial LSU rRNA". It matches the Rfam family "Bacterial large subunit ribosomal RNA", at positions 10 to 831 of the family's 2925-position model. Lineage: Bacteria; Candidatus Uhriibacteriota. The record is from RNAcentral.